CACUGAUUAAGAGUUGGGCCUGCUCGGUGAUUAAUAUUUAACAGCUGCGGUAUUAUAACUGUACUAAGGCAUAAUAAUUUGCUCUAUAAAUUGGGGCUAGAAUGAAUGGUUUGACGAAAAUUUGACUGUCUCUAUCUUAUUUAUAAAUUAAUUUUUAUAGUGAGAAAGCUUAAAUUAUUUAAAGGGACGAAAAGACCCUAUUGAGCUUAUAUUAUUUUGAUUAUAUGAUUGUUGUUUAUUGGAAUUAAUUUUGAUUGGGGGUGAUCAAGGAAUAAAUUAUUAUUAAAAUUAACUUCCUUAAUUAAUUAUUUUAUGGAGAAAACCAAAUUUUUUGCUAUGAUAAGUUACCAUAGGGAUACAGCGUUUUUUUGA
This 372-nucleotide ribosomal RNA is filed under the name Octopus maya (Mexican four-eyed octopus). Its description in RNAcentral is "partial 16S ribosomal RNA". Lineage: Eukaryota; Metazoa; Mollusca; Cephalopoda; Octopoda; Octopodidae. The record is from RNAcentral.